GACGAACGCUGGCGGCGUGCUUAACACAUGCAAGUCGAACGGAAAGGCCCUGCUUUUGUGGGGUGCUCGAGUGGCGAACGGGUGAGUAACACGUGAGUAACCUGCCCUUGACUUUGGGAUAACUUCAGGAAACUGGGGCUAAUACCGGAUAGGAGCUCCUGCUGCAUGGUGGGGGUUGGAAAGUUUCGGCGGUUGGGGAUGGACUCGCGGCUUAUGAGCUUGUUGGUGGGGUAGUUGCUUUCGAAGGCUUUGACGGGUAGCCGGCCUGAGAGGGUGACCGGGGACAUGGGGACUACGAGAGGGCCCAGACGGGAACGGGAGGCAGUAGGGGGAAACAUGGCAGAAUGGGCGGAAGCCAGAGAUGGCAGCGUCCGGAGCGGGAUGACGGCUUUCGGGGUGUAAACCGCUUUGGCCGGUGCUGAAGAGUGAGUGACGGUAAUGGGUAAAGAAGCAACGGCUAACUACGUG
RNAcentral lists this ribosomal RNA (468 nucleotides) under uncultured bacterium. Its description in RNAcentral is "partial 16S ribosomal RNA". It matches the Rfam family "Bacterial small subunit ribosomal RNA", at positions 28 to 507 of the family's 1533-position model. The record is from RNAcentral.